This is a non-coding RNA of Callithrix jacchus (white-tufted-ear marmoset), 762 nucleotides long. The record is from RefSeq and is a predicted model, not a curated record. NCBI's taxonomy places the organism in Eukaryota, Metazoa, Chordata, Mammalia, Primates, Cebidae.
CCAACAAUUAUUUAUUAGUUCUUGCCAUUAUAUUCCCAGCAUCCUGCCUAAUACAUGGAAUACAAGACAGUAUUCCUUCCACUUCAAGAAGACUGUUUUCUAGCAAAGUUCUAUAGAAAUCCUGUCAAAGAAUAUGAAGAAAAACAGAGAAAGAUUCUGCAGUAGAGAGAGAGAAUUGUGUAUGAAUUUAAAGUAGGAAGUCAGUGCUUAGAACUGAGAGUGCCACUCAGAUUUCCCAUUCAAGAGAAUGCCAGUCAUUUGCAUGGACGUCUGAUGCAGCUGCACAAUUUACCGUGCUUUAUAGAAAAAGACUUAAAAGAAGCUCUGACUCAGUUUAUAGAAGAGGAAUCUCUCAGAGAUUAUGAUAGAGAUGCUGAAGCAUCCCUGGAAGCUGUGAAAUCAGGUGAGGUAGAUUUACAUCAGCUGGCGAGUACAUGGGCCAAAGCUUAUGCUGAGGUAAGAGAAUAUAUCAGAUGGUAAAUUUCAAGUAUAUUCUGGAUUUUGGUGAGAAUUUUUUAAAUGCUAUGAUAAUCCUGAAAUAGUUAUAAGAUCCUUUUUCUCCACAUACCAGUAUUUAUUCUACAAUAUAUAUGUUGCUGCUUCAGUGCUUCCUAUAUCAGGGUGAGCACAUAAGACAAAAUGCUUUUUAUGUAAUACCUUUGUAAAACAAGAGGCUACUUUCAUAUAUCUCACCAGCAUAAGGUCACGAGAUUUAGUAAUUAAAAAUACAGGACACCCAGUUAAGUUAGAAUUUCAGAUCAA